CGGCGAUGUCCGAAUGGGGAAACCCAGUGCAAUUCGUUGCACUAUCGUUAACUGAAUACAUAGGUUAACGAGGCGAACCGGGGGAACUGAAACAUCUAAGUACCCCGAGGAAAAGAAAUCAACCGAGAUUCCCCCAGUAGCGGCGAGCGAACGGGGAGCAGCCCAGAGUCUGAAUCAGCUUGUGUGUUAGUGGAACGGUCUGGAAAGUCCGACGGUACAGGGUGAUAGUCCCGUACACCAAAAUGCACAGGUUGUGAACUCGAAGAGUAGGGCGGGACACGUGGUAUCCUGUCUGAAUAUGGGGGGACCAUCCUCCAAGGCUAAAUACUCCUGACUGACCGAUAGUGAACCAGUACCGUGAGGGAAAGGCGAAAAGAACCCCGGCGAGGGGAGUGAAAAAGAACCUGAAACCGUGUACGUACAAGCAGUGGGAGCACCUUCGGGUGUGACUGCGUACCUUUUGUAUAAUGGGUCAGCGACUUAUAUUCUGUAGCAAGGUUAACCGUAUAGGGGAGCCGCAGGGAAACCGAGUCUUAACUGGGCGUUAAGUUGCAGGGUAUAGACCCGAAACCCGGUGAUCUAGCCAUGGGCAGGUUGAAGGUUGGGUAACACUAACUGGAGGACCGAACCGACUAAUGUUGAAAAAUUAGCGGAUGACUUGUGGCUGGGGGUGAAAGGCCAAUCAAACCGGGAGAUAGCUGGUUCUCCCCGAAAGCUAUUUAGGUAGCGCCUCGUGAAUUCAUCUUCGGGGGUAGAGCACUGUUUCGGCUAGGGGGUCAUCCCGACUUACCAACCCGAUGCAAACUACGAAUACCGAAGAAUGUUAUCACGGGAGACACACGGCGGGUGCUAACGUCCGUCGUGAAGAGGGAAACAACCCAGACCGCCAGCUAAGGUCCCAAAGUCAUGGUUAAGUGGGAAACGAUGUGGGAAGGCACAGACAGCCAGGAUGUUGGCUUAGAAGCAGCCAUCAUUUAAAGAAAGCGUAAUAGCUCACUGGUCGAGUCGGCCUGCGCGGAAGAUGUAACGGGGCUAAACCAUGCACCGAAGCUGCGGCAGCGACACUAUGUGUUGUUGGGUAGGGGAGCGUUCUGUAAGCCUGCGAAGGUGACCUGUGAGGGUUGCUGGAGGUAUCAGAAGUGCGAAUGCUGACAUAAGUAACGAUAAAGCGGGUGAAAAGCCCGCUCGCCGGAAGACCAAGGGUUCCUGUCCAACGUUAAUCGGGGCAGGGUGAGUCGACCCCUAAGGCGAGGCCGAAAGGCGUAGUCGAUGGGAAACAGGUUAAUAUUCCUGUACUUGGUGUUACUGCGAAGGGGGGACGGAGAAGGCUAUGUUAGCCGGGCGACGGUUGUCCCGGUUUAAGCAUGUAGGCUGGUUGUCCAGGCAAAUCCGGAUAAUCAAGGCUGAGGUGUGAUGACGAGGCACUACGGUGCUGAAGUAACAAAUGCCCUGCUUCCAGGAAAAGCCUCUAAGCAUCAGGUAACAUCAAAUCGUACCCCAAACCGACACAGGUGGUCAGGUAGAGAAUACCAAGGCGCUUGAGAGAACUCGGGUGAAGGAACUAGGCAAAAUGGUGCCGUAACUUCGGGAGAAGGCACGCUGGUGUGUAGGUGAAGUCCCUGCGGAUGGAGCUGAGACCAGUCGAAGAUACCAGCUGGCUGCAACUGUUUAUUAAAAACACAGCACUGUGCAAACACGAAAGUGGACGUAUACGGUGUGACGCCUGCCCGGUGCCGGAAGGUUAAUUGAUGGGGUUAUCCGUAAGGAGAAGCUCUUGAUCGAAGCCCCGGUAAACGGCGGCCGUAACUAUAACGGUCCUAAGGUAGCGAAAUUCCUUGUCGGGUAAGUUCCGACCUGCACGAAUGGCGUAAUGAUGGCCAGGCUGUCUCCACCCGAGACUCAGUGAAAUUGAACUCGCUGUGAAGAUGCAGUGUACCCGCGGCAAGACGGAAAGACCCCGUGAACCUUUACUAUAGCUUGACACUGAACAUUGAGCCUUGAUGUGUAGGAUAGGUGGGAGGCUUUGAAGCGUGGACGCCAGUCUGCGUGGAGCCAACCUUGAAAUACCACCCUUUAAUGUUUGAUGUUCUAACGUUGGCCCCU
RNAcentral lists this ribosomal RNA (2103 nucleotides) under Klebsiella pneumoniae. RNAcentral describes it as "bacterial LSU rRNA". It matches the Rfam family "Bacterial large subunit ribosomal RNA", at positions 105 to 2236 of the family's 2925-position model. The record is from RNAcentral. Lineage: Bacteria; Pseudomonadati; Pseudomonadota; Gammaproteobacteria; Enterobacterales; Enterobacteriaceae.